Molecule: small nuclear RNA, 107 nt
Organism: Myotis lucifugus (little brown bat)
Lineage: Eukaryota; Metazoa; Chordata; Mammalia; Chiroptera; Vespertilionidae
Source: Ensembl
GUGCUCGCUUUGGCAGCACAUACACUAAAAUUGGAACGAUACAGAGAAGAUUAGCAUGGCCCCUGCACAAGGAUGACAUGCAAAUUCGUGAAGCGUUCCUUUUUUUU